Molecule: small nucleolar RNA, 107 nt
Organism: Gastrolobium bilobum
Lineage: Eukaryota; Viridiplantae; Streptophyta; Magnoliopsida; Fabales; Fabaceae
Source: RefSeq, a predicted model, not a curated record
AUGCCAUGUUGGGGAUACUUUCUGAGUAGUCCUUUAAAUCUUUCCCAGGCCUCGUAGAACGAUUCACUUUCUUUUUGUUCAAAAGCGGUGAUUUCUGAUUUGAGCCU